GACGAACGCUGGCGGCGUGCCUAAUACAUGCAAGUAGAACGCUGAAGGAGGAGCUUGCUUCUCUGGAUGAGUUGCGAACGGGUGAGUAACGCGUAGGUAACCUGCCUGGUAGCGGGGGAUAACUAUUGGAAACGAUAGCUAAUACCGCAUAAGAGUAGAUGUCGCAUGACAUUUGCUUAAAAGGUGCAAUUGCAUCACUACCAGAUGGACCUGCGUUGUAUUAGCUAGUUGGUGAGGUAACGGCUCACCAAGGCAACGAUACAUAGUCGACCUGAGAGGGUGAUCGGCCACACUGGGACUGAGACACGGCCCAGACUCCUACGGGAGGCAGCAGUAGGGAAUCUUCGGCAAUAGACGGAAGUCUGACCGAGCAACGCCGCGUGAGUGAAGAAGGUUGUCGGAUCGUAAAGCUCUGUUGUAAGAGAAGAACGAGUGUGAGAGUGGAAAGUUCACACUGUGACGGUAUCUUACCAGAAAGGGACGGCUAACUACGUG
Molecule: ribosomal RNA, 495 nt
Filed under: uncultured bacterium
Lineage: Bacteria
Description: partial 16S ribosomal RNA
Rfam family: Bacterial small subunit ribosomal RNA
Source: RNAcentral